CUUGUUUUUUGAAGGCUUCAGCAUAUAGCAGAAGUGAACGCUGCCUUUUUUAAAAAAGUAACGGCGCUUAAGAAACAUUGCAAUGUUGUGAGAAAUGUCACCCUUAUAUAGAUAUGACAUCUUGACAAGAAAUUAAGCUGUACAGUCUAUAUUUUAUUAGCUAAGACAUAUAGUGAUAGCAAUAGCUGUCCAUUAUAGAAACAGCUGCGAAAUCAAUUUAAUUUAGUCAGUCAGUCAAAAAGGCUAAAGCAUAUAGCAAUAGCUGCAAGCUGCCCUUGCAUUAGAA
Molecule: non-coding RNA, 286 nt
Organism: Paramuricea clavata
Lineage: Eukaryota; Metazoa; Cnidaria; Anthozoa; Malacalcyonacea; Plexauridae
Source: the annotation of a GenBank genome assembly